RNAcentral lists this transfer RNA (68 nucleotides) under Clostridioides difficile. RNAcentral's name for it is "tRNA-Gly". It matches the Rfam family "tRNA". Rfam says of the family: Transfer RNA (tRNA) molecules are approximately 80 nucleotides in length. Their secondary structure includes four short double-helical elements and three loops (D, anti-codon, and T loops). The record is from RNAcentral. Lineage: Bacteria; Bacillati; Bacillota; Clostridia; Peptostreptococcales; Peptostreptococcaceae.
GGUGUAGCUCAAUGGUAGAGUUCUGGCCUUCCAAGCCAGCUGUGAGGGUUCGAUCCCCUUCAAAGCCG